GUGAGGAAUUUUCCGCAAUGGGCGAAAGCCUGACGGAGCAAUGCCGCGUGAAGGAUGAAGGCCUAUGGGUUGUAAACUUCUUUUCUCAGAAAAGAAUUAUGACGGUAUCUGAGGAAUAAGCAUCGGCUAACUCUGUGCCAGCAGCCGCGGUAAGACAGAGGAUGCAAGCGUUAUCCGGAAUGAUUGGGCGUAAAGCGUCUGUAGGUUGUUUAAAAAGUAUUCUGUCAAAGAUUAGGGCUUAACCCUAGAUAGGCAGAAUAAACUUUUAAGCUAGAGUUUGGUAGAGGCAGAGUGAAUUCCCGGUGGAGCGGUGAAAUGCGUAGAUAUCGGGAGGAACACCAAAGGCGAAGGCACUCUGCUGGGCCAAUACUAACACUGAGAGACGAAAGCGAGGGGAGCAAAUGGGAUUAGAUACCCGUGUAGUCC
Molecule: ribosomal RNA, 426 nt
Filed under: uncultured bacterium
Lineage: Bacteria
Description: bacterial SSU rRNA
Rfam family: Bacterial small subunit ribosomal RNA
Source: RNAcentral